AUACGUAGGGGGCGAGCGUUGUCCGGAAUUACUGGGCGUAAAGGGUGCGUAGGCGGUCUGGUAAGUUGGAUGUGAAAUGCCGUCGCUCGACGACGGAGUUGCCCUUGAUACUGGCGUGCUGGAGUACGGAUGCCGUUGGAGGAAUGAGUGGUGUAGCGGUGAAAUGCUUAGAUAUCACUCAGAACACCGAUUGCGAAGGCAUCUGACGAAUCCGUCACUGACGCUGAGGCACGAAAGCGUGGGGAUAGAACAGGAUUAGAUACCCUGGUAUUCCACGCCGUAAACGAUGAUGACUAACCGUCGGCGAUAGACAGCCGGUGGCCAAGCGAAAGCGAUAAGUCAUCCACCUGGGGAGUACGUCGGCAACGAUGAAACUCAAAGGAAUUGGCGGGG
This 393-nucleotide ribosomal RNA is filed under the name uncultured bacterium. Its description in RNAcentral is "partial 16S ribosomal RNA". It matches the Rfam family "Bacterial small subunit ribosomal RNA", at positions 523 to 918 of the family's 1533-position model. The record is from RNAcentral.